UAGGCUAGGGGGCAUAGCGCUUACCGAACCUUAUCAAACUCCGAAUGCCAUAUACUAUCAGUCCGGCAGUCAGACUAUGAAAGAUAAGUUCCAUGGUCAAAAGGGAAACAGCCCAGAUCGUCAGCUAAGGUCCCAAAGUGUAAGUUAAGUGGAAAAGGAUGUGGGAUUUCUAAGACAACUAGGAUGUUGGCUUAGAAGCAGCCACUCAUUAAAAGAGUGCGUAAUAGCUCACUAGUCAAGAGAUCCUGCGCCGAAAAUGUCCGGGGCUCAAACUUACCACCGAAGCUACGGGUUCACAAUUUAUUGUGAGCGGUAGAGGAGCGUCGUAAUCGGGCUGAAGUCGUACCGAAAGGAGCGGUGGACUGAUUACGAGUGAGAAUGUUGGCAUUAGUAGCGAGAUGUAGGUGAGAAUCCUACAGGCCGAAUAUCUAAGGUUUCCUGAGUAAAGUUUGUCUUCUCAGGGUUAGUCGGGACCUAAGGCGAGGCCGAAAGGCGUAGUCGAUGGACAAUUGGUUGAUAUUCCAAUACCACUAUAAUCGUUAUUAUCGAUGGUGUGACGGAGAAGGAUAGGAUGUGCUAACUAUUGGAUGUUAGUCUAAGCGUUUAGGGAGUUAGGAUAGGCAAAUCCGUUCUAACAAUUCUGAGGCGUGAUGGGGAAGGUUCUACGGAACCGAAGUAUCUGAUUCCAUGCUUCCAAGAAAAGCAUCUAGAGAGAGAAGUAGUGCCCGUACCGCAAACCGACACAGGUAGAUGAGGAGAGAAUCCUAAGGCCGACGGAAGAAUUGCAGUUAAGGAACUAGGCAAAUUGACCCCGUAACUUCGGGAGAAGGGGUGCCUGCUUUACGGCAGGCCGCAGAGAAUAGGCACAAGCAACUGUUUAACAAAAACACAGGUCUCUGCUAAAGCGAAAGCUGAUGUAUAGGGGCUGACGCCUGCCCGGUGCUGGAAGGUUAAGGGGAACACUUAGCGUAAGCGAAGGUGUGAACUUAAGCCCCAGUAAACGGCGGCCGUAACUAUAACGGUCCUAAGGUAGCGAAAUUCCUUGUCAGGUAAGUUCUGACCCGCACGAAUGGCGUAAUGACUUGUGCACUGUCUCAACUGCAAAUCCGGCGAAGUUGUAGUGCGAGUGAAGAUGCUCGCUACCCGCGAUUGGACGGAAAGACCCCGUAGAGCUUUACUGUAGCUUAGCAUUGAAUUUCGGUAUUGUCUGUACAGGAUAGGUGGGAGACUGGGAAACUAGGGCGUCAGCCUUAGUGGAGUCGUUGUUGGGAUACCACCCUGAUAGUAUUGAAAUUCUAACUGGAUGCCAUGAAACUGGUGACAGGACAUUGUUAGGUGGGCAGUUUGACUGGGGCGGUCGCCUCCUAAAAUGUAACGGAGGCGCCCAAAGGUUCCCUCAGAACGGUCGGAAAUCGUUCGAAGAGUGCAAAGGCAGAAGGGAGCCUGACUGCGACACCUACAAGUGGAGCAGGGACGAAAGUCGGGCUUAGUGAUCCGGUGGUACCUCGUGGGAGGGCCAUCGCUCAACGGAUAAAAGCUACCUCGGGGAUAACAGGCUGAUCUCCCCCAAGAGUUCACAUCGACGGGGAGGUUUGGCACCUCGAUGUCGGCUCGUCGCAUCCUGGGGCUGAAGUAGGUCCCAAGGGUUGGGCUGUUCGCCCAUUAAAGCGGCACGCGAGCUGGGUUCAGAACGUCGUGAGACAGUUCGGUCCCUAUCCGUCGCGGGCGUAGGAAAUUUGAGAGGAGCUGUCCUUAGUACGAGAGGACCGGGAUGGACUGACCUAUGGUGUACCAGUUGUUUCGCCAGAAGCAUAGCUGGGUAGCUAAGUCGGGAAGGGAUAAACGCUGAAAGCAUCUAAGUGUGAAGCCCACCUCAAGAUGAGAUUUCCCAUAGCAUAAGCUAGUAAGACCCCUUGAAGACUACAAGGUUGAUAGGUCAGAGGUGUAAGUGCGGCAACGUAUUUAGCUGACUGAUACUAAUAGGUCGAGGGCUUGACCAA
Molecule: ribosomal RNA, 2000 nt
Filed under: Clostridium saccharobutylicum
Lineage: Bacteria; Bacillati; Bacillota; Clostridia; Eubacteriales; Clostridiaceae
Description: bacterial LSU rRNA
Rfam family: Bacterial large subunit ribosomal RNA
Source: RNAcentral